Molecule: ribosomal RNA, 279 nt
Filed under: uncultured euryarchaeote
Lineage: Archaea; Methanobacteriati; Methanobacteriota
Also listed under: 3 other names
Description: partial 16S ribosomal RNA
Rfam family: Archaeal small subunit ribosomal RNA
Source: RNAcentral
GAGACCCACGCCCACAGUUGCCAGCGUACUCUCCGGAGUGACGGGUACACUGUGGGGACCGCCGCUGCUAAAGCGGAGGAAGGAAUGGGCAACGGUAGGUCAGUAUGCCCCGAAUAUCCCGGGCUACACGCGAGCUACAAUGGUUGGUACAAUGGGUAUCUACCCCGAAAGGGGAUGGAAAUCUCCUAAAGCCAAUCUUAGUUCGGAUUGAGGGCUGCAACUCGCCCUCAUGAAGCUGGAAUCCGUAGUAAUCGCGUUUCAACAGAACGCGGUGAAUAC